RNAcentral lists this long non-coding RNA (6882 nucleotides) under Xyrichtys novacula (pearly razorfish). Lineage: Eukaryota; Metazoa; Chordata; Actinopteri; Labriformes; Labridae. The record is from RNAcentral.
UUUGUUGAAGUCAAGGUGCCGUCUUCAGCAUUUUCCCAGCUUUUCGUCCUCGCGCAGGAAGCAUAUCCGGUUAUUUAAAGUCCAGCUCGUUUGAGGAGAGGUUCCGACAGCGGUGGUCCAGCAGAGUUUACACCUGCACCGGCAGUUUGGAGGAAACGUGAAGGUAGCGCGGAUGGUCAGGUCAAACGGACUACAAAGGCCAAGAGCGCACAGCAGGAACCGUUUCUGCAGUCCUGAAGAGAAUUACCGCCCUGAACAGAGUAUUCAGGUACGUAUUACAUUAAAUCCACUUUUAUUUAUUUUUAUUUAUUUAUUUUUCGAAAUACUACUCUCCAUCUGAAAUAAUUGGCAUAACUAAAUAAGUAACUUAAAAAAUUAAAAUGUGUUUAAUAUUUUCGUAUAGGGUAGAGUGGGGUUAGUUGCGCCAACCCCUGUUGCUUGGAAAUGAUAAAAGAAAUUGAUCAUGUGGCCAAAUAUUUAUGAGAUGGGCAUCAAUUCAUGGACUCUGUGAAGGUUAGAAGUAAUGGAUGAAGUGGUUAGACAUUCAUUUACAAAAAAUCAUAUUCAAUCACAUUAACUACAACUAAGUUGAUCAGAAGUAUCCAAAAGAUGUUAUAUUGCCAUGUAUAUUUUUUACCUUAAAAAGCAGCACAGCAGAGUAGCAAAUUUCUGUAUUUUAGAUCAACAGCCCUGUGUGCAAGUGUCAAAGCUAUUUCCACUUGCCAUAUGGUCGUCAUUUUCACUCCCCUGGUGAAAUAGGAGAUGAAUUUGCACCUACUUUCAUGUCCAUAGGUGUUCUAAAUUUCCCCCCUGCUAAAGUUUGUUUCCAACAGUUUCCAACAGCUGAGUCCAAAUAAAUCUCUUGCAGUAUUUUCUGUUUUCUAAGCUAGAAACUACCUGACUGUGGGCGCCUCCAAGAAUCUCCUCAAACAGGUUUUCAGUUGUUAAUAAAGUGAACUUAUUCAGCUCUGGAAUAAAAACACAAAAAGUAACACUCACAGAUAAAUGUCAUAUUUCAACAUUCUGAUGCAACUCCUGUCUCCUAACAACUUUUAGGAGGGUGCUACAUUGAGAAUAAGAUAUUUUUAGACACAAGGUGGCAAUAGCAUAACCGAACUGAAACAAAACAAGCCUGAAAAUAAAUUGUGCACGUAGCUUAAAUUUUGGCAUAAUAAUUAAAGUUGUACGAAGGAAAAAAAGAAGAUAAAGCUAACUGAAGAAAAUGUGCAUUUCAAGGUGGGUAAUUGGGUAAAUCAAGCAGAGGGUGUAGUUGAACCCUGAUGUGAGCGAUCAAGCCUGCAUAAUGGGAUGAGAACCCUGGUGCCUCUCUUAAUUCACUUGGUGAGUGGCCUAGUAGUUAGCAUUGUCGCCCCCCAGCAAGAGGAUUCAGGCUUCCACAACAGGCCUGGCCUUUCAAUCUAUAGACCAACAGUGACCUGACAGUCUCCCACUGGAAUGUGUUCAACCUGAUUUUGAACCACGAAAGUGCUCUUGAAAGUUAAUAAACCUUAAUAAACAAGUGUUUGAGGUGAGCUAUAAGAACUUCUGCCUCUCAAGAUGGUUUAGGGUUCAAGACAAGGCCAGGGCUUUGUUAUUUGUGGCUUAAGUGUUCUGGGCUCCUCUCACAGGACUGUGGGCCAUGAUUUUUUAGCUAUGAGAAUGUACUUGAAAGUCGAAUCUUAAACAGGUAAGAGCUUGGGCUCUAAUUUUAGCACAGUUGGUUGAAGAGAGGCUAUAGAUUAACUGUAUUAAAAAUGUACACAAAGCAAAAAGACAACACCAAAUACCCUUCCUUGGCCAAAGCGAGAUUUUGUCUGCUUUAUCAGAUGCACCAGCAUGCUGGUUCUUCCCCUGUGUGAAUAUGUAGUGUUCCAGGUCUUAUGACUGGUAUGUUGAGGGCUAUAGAGCAGCAUUUUGGUUAAAGUUUGUAUGUGGCUCCUCAGACCGCUGUGUAUUGCUAUCGUGCGGUCAUUACGUAAGUUGGUAUAACUAGAGAAGCAAGCAGUUGGCAACAUUCAUCUCUCGAGGGGGUGUAUUACUUGGUGUUAUGGUGUGUUUGAGACUUAUUUAAUUUUACGCCGGAAUAUCCCUUUAGGACUACUGUCUCAUAAGGAACAGAGAGUUAAUUAGAAGCUGGUGCUGGCUGACCAGGCUGAGAGGAAUAAGAGGAAAAUGCAGCAGGAGCCUGCUGACAACAAGAGCAGAAGAAACAAUCUUAUUACUCUAGAGAUAAGUCAGAUAUCAUUUUAUAAAGACUAGCAGGUUGAAAUGUGGUGUUUUAAUAACUUUCUUGUUGCACUGAGUUAGUGUGCAGGCUUACCCUCUUUUCUUACUGAUGGUUUUAUUUGCCUUGUGCACAUAACCUUUUGUUAUUCACAGUUCUUGAUAAACACAUCAAAAACAUAUGUCUAACAUUUAUGAUUUCAGAAGACAAGGUGAUGCUGCAUUAUGGAAAUCAUUGCAUUCUUACCACACCAUAAAAUCCUGUGAGUUAAUGGACAUCACAUUAUUGUGCUCAAUUCACAGUCCCUAUUUUACUUGUAAGGAGUAACUUUUGCCACAUUAGACCCCACAUGAACUUUAAAUUGAGUUAAAUAUGAGUUUUUUUAAUGGUUCUGUGACUUGACCUAGAUCACUUGCACUAUUUUUAUAGGCUUCAUGCUAACGAAACUAUAGAGAUGAUCUUCCAGCCUAGAUCUCCAGGGAAAUCAGGUGGUGUUCUGUCCAAAAAGCCAGGACUCAGGACGCGCCUGGAAGCAGUCAGAGAGGCAUGAAAUCCUAAUGUUACCGUUCUUGUUACAGUGAGCAGACCAGGUCCAGCGGUCAUCCCUGCCUUACAAAGAUUAAUGGCUCGACUCACAGGUUGGGUUCCCAUUACGUAGUCUGUCCAUCGCCACCUCGUUAUGGACACAUCCUUCACUGUCAGGCAGCAAAAGAAGGAAGUCAAGUGGUCGUAUCCCUGCAAAUGUUGCUCACAAAAACCUGAUAUGCUCUGUAUGGCACAUGGCUAAGACCAGUAAAUCCUCGCCCCUGAGUGCGGUAUUCACACAGUCAAAACACUGCAUGUACCUUUUCAAAUUUAGGGAUUGGUACAGUUGGCUGUUUAUUGAGGACACUUCCUGCAUGAAUGGAAAUCUGUUUUUUUCUCUAUUUGAAGUCCAAAUUUUUUUCUACUUUUACUGUAUACUUGCAGAAAAAGCUGUUAUACCAAGUCAAUUUGCAUACAGCAUUCCCCACUCUCUUGUUUGUUCUUUUUGUACGAACUGUAAAGCUUCCUACAGGGAAUAAAUUCCACAACAAUCAAUCCCAAAACUUCAAAGCUAAAGCACAAGGAUGAUCAAUAUUGGGCUAAAUAUGCUAAUUUAUUUUGGCCAGGAAUAUCCUGUUUGUCUCUUUUUUUGCUGCUGUUGUUCACACUUAUUUACCAUAAAAUGUGUAGUCGUGUGUGUAUUUUCCUUUUCGUGUAUCCAUUGGCAUAAUAUUUGUCAGAGGGAUGCAAAGUAAAAGAAUUCUAGGCUGGACUCCCCAUCUGAUCUCAGGAUGAGAGACUGUAACUAAUGAUCUCGUGUCAAGCCGCGGAUAAUUUAUGGCUUCACAUACUUUCGGAUAAAUAGGAUAAUGCGUGCAUGUGCAUGAGGACACGUGUGUGUGUGUGUGUGUUUGUGUGCACAGCAUUGAGUGAUGUGCAGCAUGUGAUGGUGAUAAAGUGUCGUUUGUGUGUGCUUAUGUCUCUUGGUAUGCACCCAGUUGGUCAUGUGUGCUAGGAAAAGGAUGCACCGUGAAGAUAUCUGACAAAUAUCCAGGAAUUUUUAAAAAAAGAAAAGGAUUCAGGCCUCUGCUCCUCUUUUCCUAUGGGUGUAGUAUAGCUGCAGUUUCAAUAAUUCAUGGAGAAUUCUACAUGCCGAAGUGUAAGUUAUUGUGUUUUCAUGGAGCCAUUCAUCUUCAUAGUGACUAAUUUGCCCUGUGGUGUAAUGGCACUGAGGGCUUUGUGGGUGUAAUGGGAGUCAAUGACAUUUUCUGUAGCUGUGAUUGCCCUUGCUUUUUAGUUUCCCCCUGCACACCCAAAUACAAAUGUGCAUGCAGGUGGCACACACACACACACACGUACCACAGUUGUUUUUUUUUACUGUUAUUUUUUGCAGUUGGAGUUUUCAUACCUCCAAAAAAAUCUUAGCUUGAGUGAAUGCAGGCACUCCAUCCCUCACACCCAUCCGCCUAUUUAUCUAAGUAAGCUACAUGUAAGCUGUUAUUUAUGAUGAGCCUCUGGAGAAUUAUGGGAUCUAAGUAGCUUCCUUCUUAUUAUUGCCCUAAUGCGCAUUAAAGCAUUAAAGCUAGCCGUGUAUACUCUCCUGGUGGGUUUCUUCAUCCAUAUUCAUGAGGACGGGAGAACCUGAGGUUUGCUUGGCUGUCAGUACAUUAAUCUCAGAUACUCUCCAUCACUUUUUUCCCCGGCUUUCUCCUGUGAGAGAUUAGGGAGAUCAGAAGUGAGCUAAUGUAAUAAACAGCUGUGAUGGGCUGUCAUGUCUGUAUAAUCUCCGCGGAAAGAAUUGGCCUACGCUCUGUGUGACAUAUGGACGACAGAAGUUGUGAAUGCAACAAAGAGAGGCGUUCAAUGACGCCUGUGGCUCAGGACAAUAUGUUUUCUGUUUCAUGACAAGUCAUUUUAUCAUCAAAAGUACAGUGAUGUUUUUAUGAUUCGAAGAAAAAGAAAAGAGUGAUGUUUAUCAUCACUCCCCAAAAAAGUUUGAAAAGUUUAAACAUUUAUUUUUGAUGUUCAAAACCCAAUGGAUACAAACUUGAAAUUGACAAACAGCAGAAAAGGCACCAAUUUGGAAAUCUUGUUUGAUGUAUACACGUGUCAACAGUUCUCUGUAAUAGUUUUCUGCAAUCAGGGAAACACGCAGUUAUGAAAAACAAAUAUAACAUAAUUGGAGAAUGACAGUUUAUUACAAUUUAUGGCCUUAACUGCUGCGUUGUUAGUGCUCCUGAGGGAUGCAACCAUACGCACAAGAUGCUCUCUGAGGAGGAAUAAGCAGAUGUCUGUGAAAGAUGCAGAAAUUAUAUCUGCUGCAUGAAGAAAAGCAGAAUGAGGGUGCAAAAAAAAGCAAUAUUUGAUUGAGAAAGAGAGAAAUGGACGCAGAGAUCACUCACCUUUUUACCUCCGUCUUUACCUCCUCCUCCUCCAUCCCAGCUUCCCUCCUUCCUGCUGACAGAAAUACAUUAACUGAGACACGCUUGCCUUGAAGUUCCUCCCUCAGCAGCUGCUGUCUCAAACACUUUAUUGAGUUAUCGAACAGAGAAUAUAUAUGACAAAUGGAGUCAACAGACUGGGCUUUGGUUUACAUCCCUAUCCAAACAGUCUGUGUUUACUGUAGGAAAUCAAAGUAUAAAUCUGUACCCUGCCCAUCCGCGGAUCAAUAUUCUGCUUCAGAUGCCUUCAGGUGUCCGUCAACAAACACAUGAUUGCAUUGAAUACUGAAACUGUUCCUCAGAGCCACAGCUUUGUGUAAUUAACUCAGUGACCUGUUUGUCAUUUACACAUGCAUAGGUUGUAAAAAUUGUGAAAAGCCUGUCUUGUCUGAUAAACCUCCAGGUCUCUCACACAGCAAGGUGAGAGCAUGAAGGUUGUUGUUGCAUCUGGAUGCUGAAGGUAUGUCACCUAUUAGAUACACUGGCAGUUAUGUCGGUGUUUGCUGUUUAAAUGGUAGCACAAGAGGGGUUAACACAAGAAUCAGUGACCGUUCACUGGAGGCUGAAACCCUUGAGACAUAUGCAUCUGCUGAACUCAUUCAGGGACUCAUCCUCCGUCAGGCUGUGUGCACAUCUGUCAUCGCUGCCCCCCUGGCCCCCCUGCCCCAGAGGUUAAAGGGAAGGAUAAAAAAAGGGAGGAUGUUUGGAUUUGACCACAGGGGGAAAGAAAACAAUGGAAUUUCUUGAACAUCUUUUUGACAGAUGCACCUCCUGUCCAUCCGCAGUCCUCGCUGUAUAAUUCUGUGUAUUUGUCUGUGUCAUCAUCAUAUAACACUUUAAUGUCAAGACAGACAUUCAGUAAAUCACUUAUGUUAAGGCUGAAAAGGAUCGGUCCCAGUAUAGAACCUUGUGGAUUUCUAAAUGAGCUGCAACAGUAUGCUGAUUGUGCAUUUCCAAUUUGUACAGCUAGUUUCCUUAUUUUCAAGUACGACUUCAUCCAGUGGUUAGGUCAGUAGACAUCAGUAAUACGAAAACCUGCACCUUUCAUUAUUUUUAAUUUAAUAGUAAACAUUUAUUAAAGCUAAUUUGACCUUGAUGGGAUAUUCUGGCGUGAAAUUAAUUUAGGGUCAAACACACCGUAACACUGAGUUAGACUCCCUGUCGAGAAAUGAAUGAAUGAAUCUUUACCACACACAAACCUCAACCAAAAAGCCACUUUAUAGCCACAAAUAAUGCUCAGAACAGCACCUAACUUCAUCAACAGUACAUAUAGGGUCCCAGCCAUAGUAUACCAAACAUCUUUUUAGCUUUGCCUGAUUUCUUUAGCAGAGAAAUUAAACACAACUCACCGAUUCUCUUCCAGCAGCCGCUUGUUUGUACGAAGACCUCCGGCCAGUCCAUUAUGGACUACAGCGGGGUGACGCAGCUCAAGGAAGAACAUUUAUGAUAAUUUCUUUAUCAUUUCCUUGAAGUAAUAAUCAUCAUAUUAAUCAUUAUACACUGCAGACGCGGUAGUUCUUCUGCCUUAGCGUCUCGGUCUGAUUGCAUUUCCAUGAAGUAAUGACCCUGUUUGACCCUAACUUAAUUUUAUUUUCCCUUUAAAGGUCUGCAAGUGCCAGUCUGGCUUACAGUGGUCUGAAGAUGGUCAUUUUAUGAGCUAAAGAGCCAAGUCUGUGCAUUUGCCAAAUUCAG